GAAUCAUAAUCUAGCAUCAAAAUCAGUGCAGCAACAUCAGGUGGGUUUGGAUUUUGAGUUUUAAAUUCGAAAUAAAUAGGCUUAAAUUAGGGCUUUUUGAUUUUGAAGUUGUUUGUGUGAUUUGAUGAUUGUAUGUGGUAGAUAAUCUUAUCCUGAUCAUUUUGGUAUAUCAUAUGCUUGAUUUGGAGUUCAAUAACAUAGUUAAUUUUGAGGUUAAAUUUCGAAUUGAACAAUUAGGGUUUAUGAACGUUUGAAUGUUCUAAAUUGAAAUUUGGGCGUUUGUAAUCUAGGAAGCUAGGGGAUGUGUGGUUAGUACCAUUAGAAAGAGCACGAAGAGAGGAAGCUGUAGGUGGUGGUCGUGUGGCUGUGUGACCCCGGAAUCGAUCUCGCCGGAGUUUUGAAGCUCGACGGCGGCGUCGAUUUUCCGGCGUUUAUUCCGGCCAAACGGCUCAACCGUUGGUAAGUCUGAAAGUACCAAUGGAUUCCUGGGAGUAAAUACAAUAGAUCUGCACCUUUCGAAGGUGUUCUGGGCGGCGUGGUGUAAAUCCGGCAGAACGCCGGCGAAGUGCGACCGGAGGUGGUGACCGGAGGGUCAAACUACGGUUUGACCCCCCAACUUUCAGAGAAGAUGCAAUUACUUCCCCAGGUUUUAAUUUUUGCAAUUAAGUCACCCUGAAGGUUUUCAAACUUACGAUUUAAACCUUAAACUCUCAAAAUCUUUCAAAAGUUUUAUUGAUUUAAUUUUUAUUUCGAAAAUUAAGUAUUUUAAUUUCAAAAAUUGUUUUUAAUUAUUUAUUAAUUUAAAAAUAAAUCUGAUUUAAUUUAUUAAUUAAUUUUAAUUAGUAAUUAAUUAUAAUAAUUAGUCAAUUAAUUUAAUUAUUAAUUGAUUAAUUGUUUUAAUUAAUUAUUAAUUGAUUUUAAUUGAUUUAUUAAUUAGAUUUAAUUAUUUUAAAUAAUUUUAAAUGAUUUUAAAAUUCCGAAAAAUAGUUUCGAGCUUUAAAAUAUUAUUUUAAAAUAUGAUUGAAGCUCGUUAAUUGAUUUCAAAUGAGUUCGGACUUGAUUUCGGGUAUUCAAAAUUGAUUAUUUAUUUAUAAAAUGAUUCUUUGACCAGUUUUAAUUCUGAAAAAUGAUUAAAAAUUCAUAAUAAAUACCAGAAAAAUCCGUUUGACUUCAAACUUCUUUUGAAAAAUAUAUUUUAUUAAAUAUUUUAUGUGAUAUGUGCUAUAUGCUAUCUGAUUGACAUGUUAUGUGUCUACGUGAUUGAUAUAACAUUGUUUUUGACAUAUCUUUUGAUCCGUAAAUCGGAUUUGGGUGAAACGAAGGGUAGAUAGAAGCUCGUUUUGAAUGUAAGAUGAUGAGAAUAAUAUGAGAUCACAUAUUGAUAAUUAGUUGUGAUGAUUAGCAGAGAAGCGAGGCGUAAUAAAGGGGGAAAAGCAAGUGGAUAUAGAAUAGUAUAUCGAGCAGGAGUGAUUGAGAUGUGAAAUCGUCAGUAUAAGGCAAGUUUCCUUGAUACUUUCCUUCAAUUAUAUAGAUAUGAUCCUUAAUGUGAUUGCUUGGUGAGCUUUCUAAUUCACUUCUGACAUUGAUCGAGCCAUAUUAUGAAUUGUUUGACUCAUUGAUUCUUGAUCCAUCAACCAGAUUCCUUAACUACCACUUGAACUAUUCAUUCAUUGAUACUUGAACCCUUAAUUGGAUUCUUUGAUACCUAUUUUGAAACCUUAUUCAAUUGUAAACCUUCAAACUUCGAGAUUUUUGAAUAAAUACCAUAUAAACCCCAUUCCAAUGUUUUGGCACACCCUUGAUAUCUCAACCAAUUGACUGGAAUUCAAUUUUAUCUGGAAUACCAUACACCUUACAAUUUUUAUUCCUUUUUAGUAACCUAAUUUUCUUGGAUUUGAAACCACCUUUUGACAUGUGAAUACUUUAAUGAAACCAAAAUCCUUCUUUCAUACAAACCAUGACUACUGUUUCAUUUGAAAUCCAGAUAUGCCACAUCUGAUCCUUUGACUCAUGAAAUUAUUUUGAUCAUUAUGCCAGAAUAUCUUUAAAGAUGCUUAUGAAUUGAAUUCUGUUCUAUUUCAAAGUUUAAUUAUGUUCUUAAUGAUUCUGUUUAUUGCAUUAUAUUGUUAUUCAUCCUGAUUCAUAAUAGAAUUGGAUAGUUUUUCUUAAAUGGACCAAAUGAAUGGUCAGACCAGAUGAGUGGUCGCUUUAGGCCAAUGUGUGCCUUGGAUCCAGUAAACGAGCAUGGCGGGGCCUGCUCGGGGUUAGUGUCUGACUGAUCAGCAGCCUAACCUUUGGUUUUUAAAAAUAAAAUUUAAUAUCCAAUUCUAAUUGAAAUUCUAAAAAGAAACUUUGAUAUUGAGAUUGAUUCUCUUAAAUACUGAUUUCCAUCACCUUUUGAUAAAUGUUUACAUGGAUAUUGUUAUACUUGCUGAGCUUGUUAGCUCACUCUUGCGAAACUCUAUGUUCUUUCCAGUGAAAGCAGAGAAGGUUGGUAGCGAUGACCCUCAGGCUAGUGGUAAGGCCAGGAUUCCAGGCUGAGCGAUGGAGAGCGCUAUCAGCAGCACUUGGUUUUUAUAUAUGUACUGUUUGAGUUUCGAGAUGCGAACAUUAUGUAAGCUUGUAAGAAUUGAAUUUAUAUUUGGGAUUUGGGUUUGUAAUAAAUAAAGUUAUGCGGUGGCUUGUUUUAUACUUUAACCUGUUGCGAUCCAUGGACAGUUAAGGGUCACUGCAUAUAUUAUUUUAUUAAAUACAGGUUAUAUUAUGGUGUGGACCCCAAACUUCUGACCCGGGUUUGGAGGGCGCCAC
This 2808-nucleotide long non-coding RNA is filed under the name Daucus carota (carrot). Its description in RNAcentral is "long non-coding RNA (DCAR_LNC002866)". The record is from RNAcentral. Lineage: Eukaryota; Viridiplantae; Streptophyta; Magnoliopsida; Apiales; Apiaceae.